This 773-nucleotide long non-coding RNA is filed under the name Sinocyclocheilus anshuiensis. RNAcentral's name for it is "lncRNA (ENSSANG00000033565.1)". The record is from RNAcentral. Lineage: Eukaryota; Metazoa; Chordata; Actinopteri; Cypriniformes; Cyprinidae.
GGAGAAACAGAGAUUGUGAGAAUUUGUCCAAACGUGAAGAUGUUGGCAGUUGUGGUUGUUUUAUUCCUGGCAGCCGGCGUGAGCGACAGCGUGAUUUUGAGUAAAUGCGAGCUGAAGCAGCAGCUUGAAAGUGGCAUUACUCUGCCAAUUCCCAAUUCUGGACAUGCUGGCACAGAUCGUGUGUCAUGUCCAGCUGACCUCUGGCUUCAAUACCAGCGCCAUUAAGACGAUCCCUGAGCCACAAGAGCGCAGCGGUUGUGACGGUUCUCGCCGUGGUAGGUCUCCCAGAGGAAAAAAUUCAGGCGACUCCUCCAGUUUGGAAAGUGACGAGGACAAAAGUGAGGUCUGGACUCUGUACGGCUUGUUCCAGCUUAGUGACCACGUGGUGUGCCGCUCUAUUCAAAGUCGUACACUGAACCUCUGUAGGCUGACCUGCGACAAGCUGAUUGACAAUGACACCAGUGAUGACAUAGACUGUGUCCAGGCCCUUAUAAAUGCAGUAACUGCGCCGAUUCCUGACCGCAAAACUGCUAGACACAUCCGUGAAAUGAUCUCGCUGAUCCACCAGCCACAGUGCAUCGCCGUGAACGCCACUUCAUACUUCGCCGACUGUUAAACACCCUGAAUUCAAGACCUCUUGAUUUGAGUCCUGACCUCUUGUAGCUCCCUGCUUUAUUUUUGCAUUUCUGUGCAUUUAUAUUCGUAGCUUUCUUGCAAGACAACAAAAUCCCAGCACAAGUAGCUUGUGUUUUGUAUACGAGUCAUUAAAACCA